AAAAGCUGCACCCUGGGCAGUAUAGGGGCUCCCGCCUGUCAUCGCAGCCCUGUGGGAGGCUGAGGCAGGCCGAUCACUUGAGCUCACGAGUUCAAGACCAGCUGGGUAACUUGGAGAAACCCCGUCUCUACUAAAAUACAAAAUUAGUUGGGUGUGGUGGUGCGCACCUGUAGUCCCAGCUACUUGGGAGGCUGAGGUGGGAGGAUGGCUUGAGCCCAGGAGACAGGCUGCAGUGAACUGCAAUCUCGCCUCUUCACUCCAGCCUGGGGAACAGAGCGAGACUGUCUCAAAAAAAAAAAAAAAAAAAAAAAAGGUUAUGGGCCUCGUGCCUUCUGCCCUUUCAUGGGACUGAGCCCUGGAAGUCCUGUGUGGCUGGUGACCCCAGGGGACAGGACCUGGCCCCUCUCUUCUAACCCAGCUGUGCCGGGGCUCACCUGGGGGCCUCCAGCAUGCAUGCGGGAGAUGCUGGGCCCUGGGGGUGUCUUUGAGAAAGGGGUGGAGGAGUGUGGAGCCCCUGGGGCUCCCUUGCAGGCCGUGAGAAACCUCCCCAGUGCCACUUAUGUCCUGGACUAGGGAGGUGGUGGGGAGAGGGAGAGGAGUGGCAGACAUGGAGGCAGUGACCACACGGGCAGGGGCAGGUAUGGGGAGGACCUGGCAGGCCCCAGUCCAGUGCUCGGGCAGGCUGGGCAGGGGUGCCCUUUGGAGGCUGGUCCUUCAGGGACCCCCUCCUGCCUCCUUCCUGGGGGGCGGGCUGGGAAGGUGGGGGCUAGGUGGGCCCGGCGCCGCGGUGCUGAUGCUCUCUGUCCCCACAGGAAAGAAUCUCUAUACAAAUGAAUACGUGGCUAUCAAAUUGGAGCCGAUCAAGUCCCGGGCCCCGCAGCUGCACCUGGAGUACCGGUUCUACAAGCAGCUCAGCGCCACAGGUACCGGGCAGCCCGCGGGUGGG
Molecule: long non-coding RNA, 946 nt
Filed under: Rhinopithecus bieti (black snub-nosed monkey)
Lineage: Eukaryota; Metazoa; Chordata; Mammalia; Primates; Cercopithecidae
Description: lncRNA (ENSRBIG00000045538.1)
Source: RNAcentral